Electrophorus electricus (electric eel) is the source of this 101-nucleotide non-coding RNA. Lineage: Eukaryota; Metazoa; Chordata; Actinopteri; Gymnotiformes; Gymnotidae. The record is from RefSeq and is a predicted model, not a curated record.
GGACUCCCUGGGCAACCUGGUCCUGUUGGACCUCAAGGGCCCCAAGGCAUCAGGGGUUUGGAAGGAACAGAAGGACUCCCAGGGGAAGAUGGGGAUGAUGG